CGAUAGACACCGCGUGACAUUGCAUCGGUGAUUAGUGGCGAACGGGUGAGUAACACGUGGUAACCUGCCCUUAACUCUGGGAUAAGCCUGGGAAACUGGGUCUAAUACCGGAUAUGACUCCUCAUCGCAUGGUGGGGGGUGGAAAGCUUUAUUGUGGUUUUGGAUGGACUCGCGGCCUAUCAGCUUGUUGGUGAGGUAAUGGCUCACCAAGGCGACGACGGGUAGCCGGCCUGAGAGGGUGACCGGCCACACUGGGACUGAGACACGGCCCAGACUCCUACGGGAGGCAGCAGUGGGGAAUUAUUGCACAAUGGGCGAAAGCCUGAUGCAGCGACGCCGCGUGAGGGAUGACGGCCUUCGGGUUGUAAACCUCUUUCAGUAGGGAAGAAGCGAAAGUGACGGUACCUGCAGAAGAAGCGCCGGCUAACUACGUGCCAGCAGCCGCGGUAAUACGUAGGGCGCAAGCGUUAUCCGGAAUUAUUGGGCGUAAAGAGCUCGUAGGCGGUUUGUCGCGUCUGCCGUGAAAGUCCGGGGCUCAACUCCGGAUCUGCGGUGGGUACGGGCAGACUAGAGUGAUGUAGGGGAGACUGGAAUUCCUGGUGUAGCGGUGAAAUGCGCAGAUAUCAGGAGGAACACCGAUGGCGAAGGCAGGUCUCUGGGCAUUAACUGACGCUGAGGAGCGAAAGCAUGCGGGAGCGAACAGGAUUAGAUACCCUGGUAGUCCAUGCCGUAAACGUUGGGCACUAGGUGGUGGGGGACAUUCCACGUUUUCCGCGCCGUAGCUAACGCAUUAAGUGCCCCGCCUGGGGAGUACGGCCGCAAGGCUAAAACUCAAAGGAAUUGACGGGGGCCCGCACAUAGCGGCGGAGCAUGCGGAUUAAUUCGAUGCAACGCGAAGAACCUUACCAAGGCUUGACAUGAACCGGAAAUACCUGGAAACAGGUGCCCCGCUUGCGGUCGGUUUACAGGUGGUGCAUGGUUGUCGUCAGCUCGUGUCGUGAGAUGUUGGGUUAAGUCCCGCAACGAGCGCAACCCUCGUUCUAUGUUGCCAGCGCGUGAUGGCGGGGACUCAUAGGAGACUGCCGGGGUCAACUCGGAGGAAGGUGGGGACGACGUCAAAUCAUCAUGCCCCUUAUGUCUUGGGCUUCACGCAUGCUACAAUGGCCGGUACAAAGGGUUGCGAUACUGUGAGGUGGAGCUAAUCCCAAAAAGCCGGUCUCAGUUCGGAUUGGGGUCUGCAACUCGACCCCAUGAAGUCGGAGUCGCUAGUAAUCGCAGAUCAGCAACGCUGCGGUGAAUACGUUCCCGGGCCUUGUACACACCGCCCGUCAAGUCACGAAAGUUGGUAACACCCGAAGCCGGUGGUCCUAACCCCUUGUGGGAGGGAG
Molecule: ribosomal RNA, 1388 nt
Filed under: Pseudarthrobacter scleromae
Lineage: Bacteria; Bacillati; Actinomycetota; Actinomycetes; Micrococcales; Micrococcaceae
Description: bacterial SSU rRNA
Rfam family: Bacterial small subunit ribosomal RNA
Source: RNAcentral